AUGAAGCUCAAUGGCAAUGUGCCCGCUGUUCUUUGGAUAGGCGAGUACCUUGCUCUGCCGCUUGAGACCUGGGCCAGCCGGCCCUGCUUGUCCCAAUGUAAAGGAGACCAACUUUCUGCAGAAAUCUUUAAUGAUAAAGAUGAUCUUAAGUUCCAAUCAUCACGUGAAGACACAAAUAUUGAGUAUUUCUUAGUUGCGGCCGGACGAAGCCAUCUCUACCUGAUCAAUGAGGUCAGAGUUGAAACAGACCCACAAGACAGAACUCAGCUCUGGAUAGGUCUUCGGGAGCUGAGUUAUUUUACCUCAGUUUACCCCCUUUUAGCAGCCACCAUUAAUUUUUCCUGGCACUCCUUUUGA
Molecule: ribosomal RNA, 357 nt
Filed under: Triticum aestivum (bread wheat)
Lineage: Eukaryota; Viridiplantae; Streptophyta; Magnoliopsida; Poales; Poaceae
Description: partial small subunit ribosomal RNA
Source: RNAcentral